CACUUUUGUUCCUCAGAAUUAUAUUUAAUAAGCUAUUAUUGUUAUCCUCAUACAUUUCAUAUUAUAUAACAAAACAGAAAAGUACACCAAAAAUACACCCUAGUUACAGUACGUAUGUAUAGCAUGCAUCACAAUGCGUCAGAGGAAUGUUUACCGUGAAUCCCUGACACUUUUACGUUACACAAUAUUUACAUUGUUGUGUUGAGCUAACAACGUGCCUCACUGUGGUAGGGCUGGAAGGAAACUGCAGAAAACACACAGUACAUGUUUACAGUAUUAGCAUUGAGGAAGGAAACUGUAGAAAACAGACAGACAUGUUUACAGUAUUAGCAUUGAGGAAGGAAACUGCAGAAAACACACAGACAUGUUUACAGUAUUAGCAUUGAGGAAGGAAACUGCAGAAAACACACAGACAUGUUUACAGUAUUAGGUGUGGGUGCGUUCCUGGAGAGGUUUUUUUAACAUCUCAGGCAGCUCAUAAAUAUUACAUAUUGAAAUCUUCUGAGAUGUGCAGCAUGACUGCAAAACAGACCACCUGGAACACACCCAGUGUGUGUGAAACAGCAGACCCAGACCUUUCAGGAGAAGUCCUGGUGAACUACACAGUAUGCAGAGGAAUGCAGAGGAACGAGGAACUAGGGACACAUAGUGACUGUCUGUAGAGGAGGAGGGACUAGGGACACACAGUGAAUGUCUGUAGAGGAGGAGGGACUAGGGACACACAGUGACUGUCUGUAGUGGAACGAGGGACUAGGGACACACAGUGACUGUCUGUAGAGGAACGAGGGACUAGGAACCCACAGUGACUGUCUGUAGAGGAGGAGGGACUAGGGACACACAGUGACUGUCUGUAGAACCAGAAAUAGACAGCAUUUGUAGAACCAGACACCAUAUAUUUAGCCUGGGUCUAAGUAUGGCUCUGUGUCAGACCUUUAAAACACAUGCAUGGUCUGUCACAUCUGUAACAGUAUAGCUAGUUAUUCCCACAGAUGAGAAGUGGAGCCAUUCAGACAGUACUGUCUGGGACACAGUGAAUUAGAUGAGAAGUGGAUCCCAUUCUGAAAGUACUGUCUGGGACACCAUGAAUUAGAUGAGGAAGUGGAUCCAUUCUGAAAGUACUGUCUGGGACACAGUGAAUUAGAUGAGGAAGUGGAUCCAUUCUGAAAGUACUGUCUGGGACACAGUGAAUUAGAUGAGGAAGUGGAUCCAUUCUGAAAGUACUGUCUGGGACACAGUGAAUUAGAUGAGGAAGUAGAUCCCAUUCUGAAAGUACUGUCUAGGACACAGUGAAUUAGAUUAUGAAGUGGAUCCCCCAUUCUGAAAGUACUGUCUGGGACACAGUGAAUUAGAUGAGGAAGUGGAUCCAUUCUGAAAGUACUGUCUGGGACACAGUGAAUUAGAUGAGGAAGUGGAUCCCAUUCUGAAAGUACUGUCUGGGACACAGUGAAUUAGAUGAGGAAGUGGAUCCCCCAUUACGAAAGUACUGUCUGGGACACAGUGAAUUAGAUGAGAAGUGGAUCCCAUUCUGAAAGUACUGUCUGGGACACAGUGAAUUAGAUGAGGAAGUGGAUCCCAUUCUGAAAGUACUGUCUGGGACACAGUGAAUUAGAUGAGGAAGUGGAUCCCAUUCUGAAAGUACUGUCUGGGACACAGUGAAUUAGAUGAGGAAGUGGAUCCCAUUCUGAAAGUACUGUCUGGGACACAGUGAAUUAGAUGAGGAAGUAGAUCCCAUUCUGAAAGUACUGUCUGGGAAUUAGUGAAUUAACUCGGUGGACUCAUCAUUUCAUAAUGAUUGGCAGUGCUGUUUAUAGGCAGAUGGGCAGGAAGCAUCCGUUGAUAUUAGUGGCGUAGUUACUUACCCCUCUGCAUUAAAAACCCCGCAGAGAGAUUCUAGUGCAAAACCUCAGUCCUCACUAUCUAGGCUAUAAAAAGGCAAUAAACAACAUGAGCAUUCCUAGGCUUCGUUCCUAACGGUACCCUAUUCCCUAUGUAGUGCACUGCUUUUGAGCUGAGCUGUAUGCACCCUGGUCUAAAGUAGUGCACUACUACCCUAUAGACCCUGGUCUAAAGUAGUGCACUACUACCCUAUAGACCCUGGUCUAAAGUAGUGCACUACUACCCUAUAGACCCUGGUCUAAAGUAGUGCACUACGUAGGGAAUAUGAUGCCAUUUGAGGGGCUCCUCUAGUCUGGAAUCCCAAACACUGUUUGCAUAGACUAAAAUUAGUUCCAGAGAGUUUUCAAUAGUUUUCAAUCUCCUCUCUCUCUUUUCAGGAGAUUCAAUAGUUUUCAAUCUCCUCUCUCUCUUUUCAGGAGAUUCAAUAGUUUUCAAUCUCCUCUCUGUCUUUUCAGGAGAUUCAAUAGUUUUCAAUCUCCUCUCUCUCUUUUCAGGAGAUUCAAUAGUUUUCAAUCUCCUCUCUCUUUUCAGGAGAUUCAAUAGUUUUCAAUCUCCUCUCUGUCUUUUCAGGAGAUUCAAUAGUUUUCAAUCUCCUCUCUCUCUUUUCAGGAGAUUCAAUAGUUUUCAAUCUCCUCUCUGUCUUUUCAGGAGAUUCAAUAGUUUUCAAUCUCCUCUCUCUCUUUUCAGGAGAUUCAAUAGUUUUCAAUCUCCUCUCUCUCUUUCAGGAGAUUCAAUAGUUUUCAAUCUCCUCUCUGUCUUUUCAGGAGAUUCAAUAGUUUUCAAUCUCCUCUCUCUUUUCAGGAGAUUCACUAGUUGUGGACUUUGUACUUGUGCGUCAAUGUCAAAGUAUGUUUGACUCCAUGUACUUGGCGUCUGGUAUUAAAAAAAAGGCAGUUAACUUAACACCUUAAAUUGCCCCGUUGAAGCAAGUCGAUUGAAGCAAGUUGAGUGCUAGGUGCUGCUGGGUUCAGUUUGGAACCUUUCACCUGCUGAAUGCCUUAGGGCUUAACUGAAGCAUCCGUCUUCUAGGAAGAGAUAGAGAGAGACCAUGGUGGUGUCAACGAUGGCACCCUAUUCCCUACGUAGUGCACACAAGUAGUGCACCAUCAAGGGAAUAGGGUGCCAUUUGGGAUGCAUUGGGGUAACCCGUUAACACCAAACUCUAGAGGUUACUACAGGUCAGACCGUAUCUCAUUAACACCAAACUCUAGAAGUUACUACAGGUCAGACCGUAUCUCAUCAACACCAAACUCUAGAAGUUACUACAGGUCAGACCGUAUCUCAUUAACACCAAACUCUAGAGGUUACUACAGGUCAGACCGUAUCUCAUCAACACCAAACUCUAGAAGUUACUACAGGUCAGACCGUAUCUCAUCACCACCAAACUCUAGAGGUUACUACAGGUCAGACCGUAUCUCAUCAACACCAAACUCUAGAGGUUACUACAGGUCAGACCGUAUCUCAUCAACACCAAACUCUAGAGGUUACUACAGGUCAGACUGUAUCUCAGGUCAGACCGUAUCUCAUCAACACCAAACUCUAGAGGUUACUACAGGUCAGACCGUAUCUCAGGUCAGACCGUAUCUCAUCAACACCAAACUCUAGAAGUUACUACAGGUCAGACCGUAUCUCAUUAACACCAAACUCUAGAGGUUACUACAGGUCAGACCGUAUCUCAUUAACACCAAACUCUAGAAGUCCCUACAGGGAAAACAGGAAGUCAUAGGAAGUAGUGGGAAGUGCAGCCAAAGGAAAACCACUGCAAAUACUACUGUACCUCAGGGAGUAGUACACCGUUUAAACUUAAUAUCACCACAAAAUCAAUAGGCCGCAUCAAAGAAACAAAACAUUAAAAACAUUCAAAUUAAUCCCACUUGUAAGGCACAAUAAAAUGGACAAAGUUUAGACUCAUUUCAAAAACAAAUACUACUAAAAAAAAGAAAACAAAUAUCUCAGAAAACAAAAGUUCCUUGAGUACGGUGUCUUGGCAUUGGUUGUCUAGUGAAGAGAAGGGGAGGGGUAUCGACCAAUACAACUUUUACUGAUCCUGAUGCCUCCCACUAAACACAAUCCUGAUGCCCCUCCCACUAAACACAGCCUGAGGCAGCCUCUCAGAAGUACCAGGAUGGAAGAGCCUGAGGCAGCCUCUCAGAAGUACCAGGAUGGAAGAGCCUGAGGCAGCCUCUCAGAAGUACCAGGAUGGAAACUCUCUCUUUACUGUUAAGGAGAGAGCCUUGUGUGGCCCAACUAGUACUCUAUUCCCUAUGUAGUGCACUACUUUACACCAGGGCCCAAGGUGCUUUGGUCAAAAGUAGAGCACUAUAAAGGGAAUAGGGUGCCAUUUGGGAUGCAUUCAGGGAGGAGAAGGCAACGAACAGAAAGAGGUUUAAAAAGUCCCUGGUAGGCGGGCGGAUCAGGCCGUUCUGGCAUCUCAGCCCCUGUUAGAUGGACAGAGGGAGAGAGGUGUUCAGUCGUUGUGUUUAUCCGAGGCUGUGAGGGGGGGGCUCAUUCAGUAGUUGUGUUUAUCCGAGGCUGUGAGGGGGGCUCAUUCAGUAGUUG
This is a long non-coding RNA of Oncorhynchus tshawytscha (Chinook salmon), 4455 nucleotides long. NCBI's taxonomy places the organism in Eukaryota, Metazoa, Chordata, Actinopteri, Salmoniformes, Salmonidae. The record is from Ensembl.